GAAGAAGAAGAAGACGAAGAAGAAGUCUCGAGAUCUGAUUGGUUAUCGUGACUGUCCGUUCGUGUACAGCGCACAGGAGCCUGUUUUUGUUGGUUCUGAACGCCUCAGAAAGAAUUCAAUGAUCCUGGCAACACAAGCCUGCUGAGAUAUGAUUAGAUAAAAACUUUACAAUAAUAUACAACACUGGAAGCGGCGAAAUCAAGCGGAAAUAAUGAGACGAAGAAAAUACACCAUGGGGAAUUAUUCUAUCUACAAAAACAACUUUUCACAGUAUGUUGGGUCAAGCAGAGAAGUUAGCUGCCCCUGGCAACCGUAGUGUCAGUAGUGAAGGACUUCCUCGCUGUCUUCAACGUCUGCGUCUCUCCUGCGUUUUCACGCACGUCCGUGCAUGUGCAUAAAUGCCAUGGAAACCGCUGACGCGGAAUGGGGCGUCAUUUGCCCCAGGGCCUUCUGAAGCUCUGGAGUCGCUUCAAAGCGUUGGAGAAACCGGAGGAUCCAGCCAGAGCAGCCGGUGGGCGAAGGUGGUCCAGAUGGGCCUAACCCCGUCCACGUCCAUCCUUCACCCACUCCUCAGGUGGGUCACUCAUACACACCCCAUCCACCUUCUCCUCCACGCUCUCUUAUUUUUUGGUCUGCUGGUCCUUCUGUUUCUCCUUCACACUCUCCUGUUCCUUGUUGCUUUGAUGUCCUUGCCUUUUCUCCUUCACCCUCACCCUCUCCUACUCCUUCUUUUUCUUCUUCUUCUUCCUCACUCUCUUCUGCUUCCUCUGGUACUUGGUGCUCUGACAUCUUUCCUUUUUCUCCUUACCCCUUCUCCUUCUCCUUCACCCUCUCCUAUUCCUUCUUUGUCUUCUUCUUCUUCCUCACUCUCCUCUGCUUACUCUGCUUCUCUGUGCUCUGACAUCUCUUCUUUUCUCCUUACCCCCUGUCCUACUCCCGCUUUUUUCUUCUUCCUCGCCCUCCUCUGCUUACUCUAG
RNAcentral lists this long non-coding RNA (977 nucleotides) under Betta splendens (Siamese fighting fish). RNAcentral's name for it is "lncRNA (ENSBSLG00000002741.1)". The record is from RNAcentral. Lineage: Eukaryota; Metazoa; Chordata; Actinopteri; Anabantiformes; Osphronemidae.